This 406-nucleotide ribosomal RNA is filed under the name uncultured bacterium. RNAcentral's name for it is "partial 16S ribosomal RNA". It matches the Rfam family "Bacterial small subunit ribosomal RNA", at positions 30 to 526 of the family's 1533-position model. The record is from RNAcentral.
AUUGAACGCUGGCGGCAGGCCUAACACAUGCAAGUCGAACGAGUUGCGGACGGGUGAGUAAUGUCUGGGAAACUUCCUGAUGGAGGGGGAUCACUACUGGAAAUGGUAGCUAAUACCGCAUACCAUCGGAUGUGCCUAAAUGGGAUUAGCUCGUAGGUGGGGUAACGGCUCACCUAGGCGACGAUCUCUAGCUGGUCUGAGAGGAUGACCAGCCACACUGGAACUGAGACACGGUCCAGACUCCUACGGGAGGCAGCAGUGGGGAAGAUUGCACAAUGGGCGCAAGCCUGAUGCAGCCAUGCCGCGUGUAUGAAGAAGGCCUUCGGGUUGUAAAGUACUUUCAGCGGGGAGGCGUUACCCGCAGAAGAAGCACCGGCUAACUCCGUGCCAGCAGCCGCGGUAAUAC